Molecule: ribosomal RNA, 520 nt
Filed under: uncultured Glomeromycotina
Lineage: Eukaryota; Fungi; Glomeromycota
Description: SSU rRNA
Rfam family: Eukaryotic small subunit ribosomal RNA
Source: RNAcentral
AGCAGCCGCGGUAAUUCCAGCUCCAAUAGCGUAUAUUAAAGUUGUUGCAGUUAAAAAGCUCGUAGUUGAAUUUCGGGGUUCUUCCGUUGGUCGGGCUAUCCAGUCUGUACUAGCGUGUAGAAUUCCUACCUUCUGGGGGAACCAUCAUGUUAUUAAUUUAGCGUGGUGGGAAACCAGGACCUUUACCUUGAAAAAAUUAGAGUGUUCAAAGCAGGCUUACGUCUGAAUACAUUAGCAUGGAAUAAUAGAAUAGGACGGUGGUCCUGUUUUGUUGGUUUCUGAAUCACCGUAAUGAUUAAUAGGGAUAGUUGGGGGCAUUAGUAUUCAAUUGUCAGAGGUGAAAUUCUUGGAUUUAUUGAAGACUAACUUCUGCGAAAGCAUUUGCCAAGGAUGUUUUCAUUAAUCAAGAACGAAAGUUAGGGGAUCGAAGACGAUCAGAUACCGUCGUAGUCUUAACCAUAAGCUAUGCCGACUAGGGAUCGGACGAUGUUAAAUUUUAUUGACUCGUUCGGCGCCUUAC